Molecule: RNA transcript, 3673 nt
Organism: Phycodurus eques (leafy seadragon)
Lineage: Eukaryota; Metazoa; Chordata; Actinopteri; Syngnathiformes; Syngnathidae
Gene: naa38
Gene name: N-alpha-acetyltransferase 38, NatC auxiliary subunit
Exons: 4
Source: RefSeq, a predicted model, not a curated record
AAAAAAAUCCCCUUACAUAAAAAAUGGCUGACUUUAUUAUUUCAGCACCCCCCCCCUCCCCUUUCACUCUGUGCGGCCCCUCCCUCCCCCAAAAGCUCCACAUUUGUUACUGUGCAGUGAAAGGGGGGUUGCGACUAACGUUGUUUUUUAUACUUGUUUGUGUGCCCCCACCUCCCAGACCGAGCUUGUGUGCCAUCCCUCCCCCACCCCCCCCCCACCCACCCAUUAUCCUCAGAAUUGUGGUGUCACUUUCUGCAUUGCAGAGCAAAUCCAUCAAACAUGGCCCCCACCACUGGAUUUUAAAAAAAUAUUUGUGUGUGUGUGUGCUGGGACAGGAUUAAGAAAAGAAAAAGGGGGUGGUGGGUGGUUGUUAGGAAAAAAAAAUAAAAAAUCUGCCGCAGCCAUGCCCAUGAUUUACAUCAGAUUGUAUUGCUUAAAAAAUUAACCGCUUGUGGUGAGGAUGGAAGUCAGUGAGAGGGGAUGCGAGCCCUUGUUGGGUACCGUUUCCGAUGGCAACCGAUCAAACGCUAACAUCGUUGCUAACAACAACGCAGUUGCUUGACAAGAUAGCGGCCCGAGGCCGCUUGAAGUUGAAGUAUUCAGAAGCGAUGAAAUGCUGACAAGCUAGCACUUGGUGUGCUAACGUUAGUAUUGCGACCCGAGUAACAACAAAAUCUCCAUGGCAGAUAAAUAAGAAUUUUACAUCCUGUCAUGUAAUCAGAUGCUAUUUCUAAUGAGUUGAUCAAAUGUUAACAUGCCAGCAGUUGCUAUGCUAGCAGAUGGCAACCCAAGCACACAAAGCGCUACAAUGCCACUGAACGGGUAUUUUACACCUCGCCGUGUACGCAGCCGGUGCUAUUUGUAACGGCAAGUGAUCAAAUGCUAGCAUGCUAACAGGUGCAAUGCGAACGCAAGGCACCAAAGGACAGUGGCUGCAUUGUUGACCGUCUAAUACAAAAGCUCAGGCUGCCCUUGAAGACCAACACAGAAUACAGAAAUGUCAUGAGGGCCAAUAGUGGCUGCAGUGUGCACUUGUUACAUGAAAUUAAAUACCGGAAUGGGAGAAGGAUGUAUGAAAGGUACGAAGGAAAGGAUGUUGGAAGGAUGGAAGGAAGGAGAAUGGUGGUAUGAAAAGGAGGUGGAAAGAAGGAAGGGAGGGAGGAAGGAAUGGAGGGUUGAAGGAUGGAUGAAGGAAACGAGGGUGGUAUCCAAGGGACGACGAAAGAGGGAAGAGUGGAAUGGAUAGAAGGAACAAAAGGAAGAAAAGAAGGGCAGAGGAAGGAAGGAUGGAAAGAAGAGUGGAUAGAAGGUAGAACGGAUUGUUGCAAGGAAAGAAGGAAGGGAUGAAGUUAGAAGGGAUUGGAGGGUGGAAGGAUGGAGGGAAGGAUGGAGGUAAUAUAGAAGGAGCGAAAGAAGGAAGGAAGGAAGCAAACAAGAAAGAGAGAGAAGGAGAAAAGAAAGACAGACAGAAAGAAACAACCAUGGUAUGAAAGGGAGGGAGGGUGGAAGACAGGAAGGGACAGAGGAAGACAAUGGAAGGAAGGUAUAAAAGAAGGGAGGAUGGAACAAAGGAAUGAAGGAAUGUGAAAGAAAGGAGGAGGCUCAUCGCCAGUUUCUGGCUCUCCACGGGCCAAAACCCAAAAUUGAAACUUCAACCUCUGUUUUAAAACCCUAAAAAUGGUUUCAAACCACGAUUGGUUAUGCAUGUCAUGACCACAAGUGACCACUAAGAGUCGCUGUUUAACAAAAGUUGCGUAGGAAAACAUCCGUGUGUCAACUACUUCCGGCAGGAAACCACAGAAGAAGAAUGCACACAUGGCAACAAUCGAGGAAAACGGACCACCGACUCAUGACCAGCGUGACGCGUCGUCGUCGUUCCAGGCGAGGGAGAAGCUCCAGGGCCUGCUGAACAAGAACAUGAGGAUCCGUAUGACUGACGGCCGGACCUUGGUGGGCCUUUUCCUCUGCACGGACCGCGACUGUAACAUAAUCCUCGGAUCGGCUCAGGAGUUCCUCAAAUCCACAGACACUUUCUCCCAGGGUGAACCCCGAGUUCUGGGCCUGGCCAUGAUCCCGGGUCACCAUGUUGUCUCCAUCGAAGCCGAGGCAGACACGCUGGACGACGCGCAAGAUUUCGGAGUGAACCAUUCGGAAAUGGACCUUUGAUAGUGGAAGAAUGGCCGUUUUCUUUAGUUUUUUUUUCUUUUUAAAUACCUUGGACAGCAGGGUGAAUAACUUAAAUUUGAUGUAUGUUAUUAAUGUCUUUUGGGUGGUAAACGUUGGAGUCUAGCAAAUUUGAGUUCAUGAGGCUGUAUUCUCUUUGCAGAGUCAAUAACUUGAGUUAUCCCUGCAGGAAGAACUGAACUUCUGAAAUGGGACUCUUGCGCCGGAUUUGAAUGAGUGACGACCGUGAUUACCGGGGAGCUUACCCACAGCAGAGUGGUAGUGGGACAAGGCUUCAGCCAGCUGACCGGCUGCCAAAAGUUUGCGGCCCAUCUCCAAGUGAUGCUCAAUCUCGCCGCCAGUCGCCCCCAACACGCCUGGAACCCGUCGCGGUCGUGGUGAAUAAUCAAACACGCUCCCAGCGAGCAUUAGACACAGCGACGUGUGCCGCCUUACCGUCCAGGAUGACACAAAGCAGCGACAAGGAGCCCAGCACCCCGCCCGGUCCGGUCAAGCGGCCCCAGUCCAUACCGGCGACGGUUGAUCAAUUCACGUAAAACGACGUGGAACUCAUUGAAACGCUAUCCUGCCAUGAAAGCGUUCUCCCGACUGGAAUUGCUCGGAGGAAACGACGAGCCGAGUUUACGGUCCGGCUGUGCCAAAGUUCCGUGUGAAAACGCAAUGCUCGGCAGGAAGGUUCCCGCACGAGACCUGGCGCGUUUAACGCAACGUUUCGCAUCAGGUAAAUAAAUAAAUAGUAACUUCGAUUUGACGUCUUAGGAAGGAAAUAACUCGUACAUACACGCAAAAAAAUAUAAAAGUAUUUUUUUGUGUGCGGUAUACGGCGACCCCGCCCCUUACGCAGUUUCCUCGAUAUGAUUGGUCCGUAUGGCAGCACAUUCGCUUCUGGUUCGAGACGCGGCCUCUUCUCAUUGGACAACAAGCGGCACGUGGCGUUCACGCGCAAAAACAAAAGAAAAAAACAUCCCGUAAAAUCGAUUCAAAUUAACUGACGUUGAGAAGAACUAAUUCCCCUAGAAUUCAACAUUUGUCAAUUGAUUCAAACCGUUCCGAUGUCAGUGUUAUGUGCUGAAAAUGUGUUGUUUAUUAUUUUUCACCUUCCCACGUCGUUUCAAUUAAAAAAAACUAAUUAUCAGACAAAAUGAACAAAUUCACCUUAAAAUCAGCAUUUCAAAUUCAAAAUGUUACAACAUUCCCACCAAAAAUCCUUGCUUCUUUUUUGGCCAUACAUUUGUAUUUGUUGUUGUACAACUCAAAUGACAAAAUUAAAAGCAAUGUUCAACAUGCACAGUAUGUUUAUUGUGCGUAAUUGUAAAAAGAAAUGUACAAAAAACACAUGACUCGAGAAUCAAAUGAAUAGAUUUACACAUGUGAAUACUGGACAUAAAUAACAUUGCGGAACAUCGAGUACAAAAUAUAACAAAACAAUGAGUCUAUUCCACUAGAAAAUGUAAUCAUUUGAUGAGUAUAAAAAGAAAGAUUCCAUUCA